CAAGAGGCAAAUCCAUUGGUACUUGGAGGCUGCAGAAGCUCAACAAGGGGAAUCCAGCUGUCUCACGCAGCAGAAGCAUCCCCAUGAAGUGACCCAACAUGCUGUGUAACACCCACUGAUAACCUGGAAUUACCACAAGGCAGCUUUGCUAACAGAGCUGUGAAGUCUGGUUACUGCUCAAGUCCUGCUGCCUGCUCAUGUUUCUUAGCCAUUAGCCACACCAGGAGAUAUUUUAGGAUAAAAGAACUCAUUUGAGAUUACUGGAGAAAGAAAAACUUCUAUGCACCAGGAGUCUACAAAGCAAAUGAUGCAGAAUAGAGAUAGUCCAUUUCCAGUGAUUUUAUGAGAAACAUGUCUUUUUCCUCCUGUGUUCUGUAGCUCAUUCUCACUCUGUUGGACUGAUUCCCAAGGAGUGGCCUUUCUGCACUGUUGUUACAGCUCUGAAAGCAGUCGUCAUUCAAGCUGACAAUACUCCAGAUAUUAAAAAAGCCAGAAAACCUGAUCUGAUCAUUUUCCAUCUAGACGGAAACUGGGGACAGCCUGAGGCAUUUGAUAACACCCAGGCCCCUCUGGGUGCCUCUGGGUUCCCUGUAUGCCUUGUAUUACCUUUACAGGACAGUUUGCUGUGACAACAAGACUUUGGGACGCAGUGAGCUGCCCUCUUAGUCCUGCUACAAGCAGACUGAGUGGCAAUGAACGGGUCUUCAAGCAAGGAAAUGUUCAUUUGGUUUGCAGCUUAAAGAUUCUUAAUAAAAUCUGA
Molecule: long non-coding RNA, 760 nt
Organism: Cyanistes caeruleus (blue tit)
Lineage: Eukaryota; Metazoa; Chordata; Aves; Passeriformes; Paridae
Source: RefSeq, a predicted model, not a curated record